GGCUCAGGUGAUUCUUCAAGAGUUUGGGGUGACUGAUUUUAUCUGGGGGUGACUGUGAAGCAGGAAUGCUUCUUGGAAGGAUCUUACUCAGCAGAGAAGGAAACUGCAGGGCUGAAGAGGCAAACGGGACACAUUUGGGAAGGGCCACAAAUGUGUCCCUUGGGAAAAAGUGGACAGCUGCAUGGAAAAAUUCUCCUCAAAAAGAAUAGGAGGCUGGGCGCGGUGGCUCACACCUGUAAUUCUAGCACUUUGAGAGGCCGAGGCGGGUGGAUCACUUGAGGUCAGGAGUUCAAGACCA
Molecule: long non-coding RNA, 298 nt
Filed under: Homo sapiens (human)
Lineage: Eukaryota; Metazoa; Chordata; Mammalia; Primates; Hominidae
Description: HSALNT0256920
Source: RNAcentral